GGGGGGAGUGCCAGAUCCUGGGCUGCUUCCCCUGGUGCCCUGGGAUCUGGGGCCUGUGCCGCUGGAAUCACGCUCCUGGGCCAUGCAGCCCCCU
This is a non-coding RNA of Canis lupus familiaris (dog), 94 nucleotides long. The record is from Rfam. NCBI's taxonomy places the organism in Eukaryota, Metazoa, Chordata, Mammalia, Carnivora, Canidae.